RNAcentral lists this ribosomal RNA (468 nucleotides) under uncultured bacterium. RNAcentral describes it as "partial 16S ribosomal RNA". It matches the Rfam family "Bacterial small subunit ribosomal RNA", at positions 28 to 507 of the family's 1533-position model. The record is from RNAcentral.
GACGAACGCUGGCGGCGUGCUUAACACAUGCAAGUCGAACGGAAAGGCCCUGCUUUUGUGGGGUGCUCGAGUGGCGAACGGGUGAGUAACACGUGAGUAACCUGCCCUUGACUUUGGGAUAACUUCAGGAAACUGGGGCUAAUACCGGAUAGGAGCUCCUGCUGCAUGGUGGGGGUUGGAAAGUUUCGACGGUUGGGGAUGGACUCGCGGCUUAUCAGCUUGUUGGUGGGGUAGUGGCUUACCAAGGCUUUGACGGGUAGCCGGCCUGAGAGGGUGACCGGCCACAUUGGGACUGAGAUACGGCCCAGACUCGUACGGGGGGCAGCAGUGGGGAAUAUUGCACAGUGGGCGGAAGCCUGAUGCAGCAACGCCGGGUGCGGGAUGACGGCCUUCGGGUUGUAAACCGCUUUCGCCUGUGACGAAGCGUGAGUGACGGUAAUGGGUAAAGAAGCACCGGCUAACUACGUG